CUAGAAUCUCGCUUAUAGGUUCUCCUUCUACCAAUUGCCUAGAAUCUCACUUUUUGGUUCUCCUUCUACUAAUUGCCUAGAAUCUCCCUUAUAGGUUCUCCUUCUACCAAUUGCCUAGAAUCUCGCUUAUAGGUUCUCCUUCUACCAAUUGCCUAGAAUCUCACUUUUUGGUUCUCCUUCUACUAAUUUCCUAGAAUCUCCCUUAUAGGUUCUCCUUCUACUAAUUGCCUAGAAUCUCCCUUAUAGGUUCUCCUUCUAC
Non-coding RNA from Pelobates cultripes (western spadefoot toad), 259 nucleotides. The record is from the annotation of a GenBank genome assembly. NCBI's taxonomy places the organism in Eukaryota, Metazoa, Chordata, Amphibia, Anura, Pelobatidae.